This 1418-nucleotide ribosomal RNA is filed under the name Bacillus altitudinis. Its description in RNAcentral is "bacterial SSU rRNA". It matches the Rfam family "Bacterial small subunit ribosomal RNA". Lineage: Bacteria; Bacillati; Bacillota; Bacilli; Caryophanales; Bacillaceae. The record is from RNAcentral.
UGCAGUCGAGCGGAGGAAUGGAUCUUGCUCCCGGAUGUUCGCCGCAGACGGGAGAAUAACUUAUGAAUCUCCUGCCUGUAGGACUGCAAUAUCUCCAGAAAAACGCUACUACCACCUACUACCUACUUGAAACACCUGGUUAUCGGAUGAGACAUUGCUUCAGCUGUCGCUUACAAAUGGACCCACCUCGCUUUAGCUAUUUGGUGCUGUAAUGGCUCACCUCUGCAACGAUUCUUAGACGACCUGACAGCGUGAUCGGACACACUGGGACUGAAAACCCCCCCAGACUCCUACGGGGGGCAAUAUUAGGGAAUCUUCCGCACUGUACUAAAGUCUGACCGAGCGUCUCCACNUGAGUGAUGAAGGUUUUCGCAUCUUAAAGCUCUGUUGGGAUGUAAUAACAAAUGCCAGAGUAGCUGCUCCCUCCUUGACAGAACCUACCCCGAAAGCCUCGGCUAACUACGUGCCAGCAGCCGCGGUAAUACGUACGUGGCUCGCGUUUUCUGGAAUUAUUGGGCGUAAAGGGCUCGUUUGGCGGUUUUCUUAAGUCUGAUGUGAAAGCCCCCGGCUCAAACCGGGGAAGGGUCCAUUGGAAAACUGGGAAACUUGAGUGCUGAAGAGGAGAGUGGAAUUCCCCGUGUAGCGGUGAAAUGCGUAGAGAUGUGGAGGAACACCAGUGGCCAAGGCGACUCUCUGGUCUGUAACUGACGCUGAGGAGCGAAAGCGUGGGGAGCGAACAGGAUUAGAUACCCUGGGUAGUUCACGCCGUAAACGAUGACUGCUAAGUGUUAGGGGGUUUCCGCCCCUUAGUGGUGCAGCUAACGCAUUAAGCACUCCGCCUGGGGAGUACGGUCGCAAGACUGAAACUCAAAGGAAUUGACGGGGGGCCCGCACAAGCGGUGGAGCAUGUGGUUUAAUUCGAAGCAACGCGAAGAACCUUACCAGGUCUUGACAUCCUAUGACAACCCCAGAGAUAGGGCUUUCCCUUCGGGGACAGACUGACAGGUGGUGCAUGGUUGUCGUCAGCUCGUGUCGUGAGAUGUUGGGUUAAGUCCCGCAACGAGCGCAACCCUUUAUUUUAUUUGCCAGCAUUUAGGUGGGCAAUUUAAGGGGAACGCCCGGGGCCAACCGGAGGAAGGUGGGGGAGGAGUCCAAUUCUCCUUCCCCUUAUGACCCGGGGUUCCCCCCUGGUUCAAAUGGCAGAACAAAAGGGUUCAAGACCGCAAGGUUUAGCCNAUUCCAUAAAUCUGUUUUCUAUUCGGGUUGCAGUUUGCAAAUUGGAUGCCUGAAAGUGGGAUUCGUUGUUAUUGGGGAUUAAGAAGCCGGGGUGAAUUCGUUUCCCGGCCUUGGUCCCCCCCCCCGUCCCCCCCAGGGAAUUUGCAACACCCGGAGUUAGGGAGGUAACUUAUGGAGGCAGC